UUGCAUGAGGAGUCACCCUACCUCAGGAUAAGAGAGACCUGGGGGCCCUCCCCAGCUUUGGGCUCUGAGGCAUAGCUCUGGGGUGUCUCCACCAUGGCCUGGACCCCUCUCCUGCUUCCUCUUCUGACUCUCUACACAGGGGCCGCGGCCUCCUACCAGCUGACUCAGCCAUCCUCGGUGUCAGUGGCCCUGGGACAGACGGCCACCAUCACCUGCUCUGGAGAUUUACUGGAUAAAAUAUAUACUGAUUGGUACCAGCAGCACCCGGGCCAGGCCCCUGUGGUGGUUAUAUAUAAGGAUACCGAGCGGCCCUCGGGAGUCCCUGACCGAUUCUCUGGGUCCAGCUCAGGAAAGACGGUCACCCUGACCAUCACUGGGGCCCAGGCUGAGGACGAGGCUGACUAUUACUGUGAGUCAGCAGACAACGAUAAAAAUCCCACAGUGACACAGGCAGAUGGGGAAGUGAGACACAAACCCUCUUCCCCAUCUGGGUCACACUGUCCCUGUAGUCCCAGAAGGACUGAGGACAUAGCAGGAGCCAAGCUUGUCCAGCUCAGCCAGACCUGA
Molecule: non-coding RNA, 567 nt
Organism: Tupaia belangeri chinensis (Chinese tree shrew)
Lineage: Eukaryota; Metazoa; Chordata; Mammalia; Scandentia; Tupaiidae
Source: the annotation of a RefSeq genome assembly